AUUGAACGCUGGCGGAAUGCUUUACACAUGCAAGUCGAGCGGCAGCGCGGGGGCAACCCUGGCGGCGAGCGGCGAACGGGUGAGUAACAUAUCGGAACGUACCCCGUCGUGGGGGAUAACACAGCGAAAGCUGUGCUAAUACCGCAUACGACCUGAGGGUGAAAGCGGGGGAUCGCAAGACCUCGCGCGAUGGGAGCGGCCGAUAUCGGAUUAGCUUGUUGGUGAGGUAAAGGCUCACCAAGGCGACGAUCCGUAGCUGGUCUGAGAGGACGACCAGCCACACUGGAACUGAGACACGGUCCAGACUCCUACGGGAGGCAGCAGUGGGGAAUUUUGGACAAUGGGGGGCAACCCUGAUCCAGCCAUUCCGCGUGAGUGAAGAAGGCCUCGGUUGG
RNAcentral lists this ribosomal RNA (395 nucleotides) under uncultured bacterium. RNAcentral's name for it is "bacterial SSU rRNA". It matches the Rfam family "Bacterial small subunit ribosomal RNA", at positions 29 to 426 of the family's 1533-position model. The record is from RNAcentral.